RNAcentral lists this ribosomal RNA (679 nucleotides) under Escherichia coli. RNAcentral's name for it is "partial 23S ribosomal RNA". It matches the Rfam family "Bacterial large subunit ribosomal RNA", at positions 1 to 722 of the family's 2925-position model. The record is from RNAcentral. Lineage: Bacteria; Pseudomonadati; Pseudomonadota; Gammaproteobacteria; Enterobacterales; Enterobacteriaceae.
GGUUAAGCGACUAAGCGUACACGGUGGAUGCCCUGGCAGUCAGAGGCGAUGAAGGACGUGCUAAUCUGCGAUAAGCGUCGGUAAGGUGAUAUGAACCGUUAUAACCGGCGAUUUCCGAAUGGGGAAACCCAGUGUGAUUCGUCACACUAUCAUUAACUGAAUCCAUAGGUUAAUGAGGCGAACCGGGGGAACUGAAACAUCUAAGUACCCCGAGGAAAAGAAAUCAACCGAGAUUCCCCCAGUAGCGGCGAGCGAACGGGGAGCAGCCCAGAGCCUGAAUCAGUGUGUGUGUUAGUGGAAGCGUCUGGAAAGGCGCGCGAUACAGGGUGACAGCCCCGUACACAAAAAUGCACAUGCUGUGAGCUCGAUGAGUAGGGCGGGACACGUGGUAUCCUGUCUGAAUAUGGGGGGACCAUCCUCCAAGGCUAAAUACUCCUGACUGACCGAUAGUGAACCAGUACCGUGAGGGAAAGGCGAAAAGAACCCCGGCGAGGGGAGUGAAAAAGAACCUGAAACCGUGUACGUACAAGCAGUGGGAGCACGCUUAGGCGUGUGACUGCGUACCUUUUGUAUAAUGGGUCAGCGACUUAUAUUCUGUAGCAAGGUUAACCGAAUAGGGGAGCCGAAGGGAAACCGAGUCUUAACUGGGCGUUAAGUUGCAGGGUAUAGACCCGAAACC